AUGUCUGCUAAAUCAUUCAAACCAAUUGUAAAGUUCGGUGUUAUUGGCUCUGUUGCCCUCUGUCUAAGUAUUGCUGCCGCCUUCGUUGUGUGGAAACGAACACAAGGCAAAUUCAAAACAGACAAAAAGGAGAAAAGCAUGGAGGAUGGAUCCGAUCAGAACAGAAAAAAAAAGGUGAUUUACUCAAAAAAGGACAACAGUGAAUUCAAGGUUGCAGUCGAAAAAGGAGAAAGUGAGAUGUUCAUGACAGGAAGAGAAGAAGAAGAGCAAGAAACACGAGAUCAGCAUGUGACAGAAACAGAGCUAAUAGGGGAUAUGGAGAGGCCAGAAAGAGAGACAGUAUUGAAAAGUAUUGAAAAUGAUUCUCAGUCUACAACAGAUAAAAAAACAGAUGAAGAAAAUGAAAUGACAGGAAGAAGAGUGAAAGCUGAAGGAGGUGAAGAUGAAGGAGAGAAGAUGAUGGAAUCAGUAAAAUAUUAUUUAGGAGUUCAGUUUUUACCACUAUCAGAAAAACACAAAGAGGAGCUCAUGUCAGGAAUAUCAAGUUCUAUGGAAUGGGGAAUAUAUUUUAACCUUGAUCAGAAGCAACAGAGUGAACAAGAAGAGCAGUUUGUGGAAGAAAGAGAAACAGAGAGUGAUGUGGACAUGAAGCAGCUAAACAACAAGAAAAAGAGGUCAAAGAAAAAGAAGACCCAACUUAAUAACCCAUGUUCAGGGUUUCCACCAGAGAAGACAAAACAACCUGAAACAGACCAACAGAAAGAAGCAAACCAGAGGACACUUCAAUCAGAGACAGGAAUGAAAGGAGAGAACAAUGAGACAGAGAUCCAAACACAAAAAGACAAAGACAACCAACAUCACACAAAAGAAAAACAGCAAGACAGAAAUGAACCUGAAGAUCAAGAAGGAUAA
This 912-nucleotide long non-coding RNA is filed under the name Oreochromis niloticus (Nile tilapia). Its description in RNAcentral is "lncRNA (ENSONIG00000042275.1)". The record is from RNAcentral. Lineage: Eukaryota; Metazoa; Chordata; Actinopteri; Cichliformes; Cichlidae.